Molecule: ribosomal RNA, 479 nt
Filed under: uncultured bacterium
Lineage: Bacteria
Description: partial 16S ribosomal RNA
Rfam family: Bacterial small subunit ribosomal RNA
Source: RNAcentral
GAUGAACGCUGGCGGCGUGCUUAACACAUGCAAGUCGAACGAAGCACUUUAACCUGAUUCUUCGGAUGAAGGUUUUUGUGACUGAGUGGCGGACGGGUGAGUAACGCGUGGGUAACCUGCCUCAUACAGGGGGAUAACAGUUAGAAAUGACUGCUAAUACCGCAUAAGACCACAGAGCCGCAUGGCUCGGUGGGAAAAACUCCGGUGGUAUGAGAUGGACCCGCGUCUGAUUAGGUAGUUGGUGGGGUAACGGCCUACCAAGCCAACGAUCAGUAGCCGACCUGAGAGGGUGACCGGCCACAUUGGGACUGAGACACGGCCCAAACUCCUACGGGAGGCAGCAGUGGGGAAUAUUGCACGAUGGGGGAAACCCUGAUGCAGCGACGCCGCGUGAGCGAAGAAGUAUUUCGGUAUGUAAAGCUCUAUCAGCAGGGAAGAAAAUGACGGUACCUGACUAAGAAGCACCGGCUAAAUACGUG